AGAGCGAACGCUGGCGGCAGGCUUAACACAUGCAAGUCGAACGGUAAGGCCCUUCGGGGUACACGAGUGGCGAACGGGUGAGUAACACGUGGGUGAUCUGCCCUGCACUUCGGGAUAAGCUUGGGAAACUGGGUCUAAUACCGGAUAUGACUACGAAUCGCAUGGUUUGUGGUGGAAAGCUUUUGCGGUGUGGGAUGGGCCCGCGGCCUAUCAGCUUGUUGGUGGGGUGAUGGCCUACCAAGGCGACGACGGGUA
This 255-nucleotide ribosomal RNA is filed under the name uncultured bacterium. RNAcentral describes it as "partial small subunit ribosomal RNA". It matches the Rfam family "Bacterial small subunit ribosomal RNA", at positions 26 to 285 of the family's 1533-position model. The record is from RNAcentral.